This 457-nucleotide ribosomal RNA is filed under the name Microcystis viridis. RNAcentral describes it as "bacterial SSU rRNA". It matches the Rfam family "Bacterial small subunit ribosomal RNA", at positions 129 to 619 of the family's 1533-position model. Lineage: Bacteria; Bacillati; Cyanobacteriota; Cyanophyceae; Chroococcales; Microcystaceae. The record is from RNAcentral.
ACUUCAGGACGGGGACAACAGUUGGAAACGACUGCUAAUACCCGAUAUGCCGCGAGGUGAAACCUAAUUGGCCUGAAGAAGAGCUUGCGUCUGAUUAGCUAGUUGGUGGGGUAAGAGCCUACCAAGGCGACGAUCAGUAGCUGGUCUGAGAGGAUGAGCAGCCACACUGGGACUGAGACACGGCCCAGACUCCUACGGGAGGCAGCAGUGGGGAAUUUUCCGCAAUGGGCGAAAGCCUGACGGAGCAACGCCGCGUGAGGGAGGAAGGUCUUUGGAUUGUAAACCUCUUUUCUCAAGGAAGAAGUUCUGACGGUACUUGAGGAAUCAGCCUCGGCUAACUCCGUGCCAGCAGCCGCGGUAAUACGGGGGAGGCAAGCGUUAUCCGGAAUUAUUGGGCGUAAAGCGUCCGCAGGUGGUCAGCCAAGUCUGCUGUCAAAUCAGGUUGCUUAACGACCUA